GUGCCAGCAGCCGCGGUAAUACGUAGGUGGCAAGCGUUGUCCGGAUUUAUUGGGCGUAAAGGGAGCGCAGGCGGUGACUUAAGUCUGAUGUGAAAGCCCACGGCUCAACCGUGGAAGGUCAUUGGAAACUGGGUCACUUGAGUGCAGAAGAGGAAAGUGGAAUUCCAUGUGUAGCGGUGAAAUGCGUAGAUAUAUGGAGGAACACCAGUGGCGAAGGCGACUUUCUGGUCUGUAACUGACGCUGAGGCUCGAAAGCGUGGGGAGC
This 265-nucleotide ribosomal RNA is filed under the name uncultured Facklamia sp. Its description in RNAcentral is "partial 16S ribosomal RNA". It matches the Rfam family "Bacterial small subunit ribosomal RNA", at positions 505 to 769 of the family's 1533-position model. The record is from RNAcentral. Lineage: Bacteria; Bacillati; Bacillota; Bacilli; Lactobacillales; Aerococcaceae.